This 253-nucleotide ribosomal RNA is filed under the name uncultured bacterium. RNAcentral describes it as "partial 16S ribosomal RNA". It matches the Rfam family "Bacterial small subunit ribosomal RNA", at positions 524 to 776 of the family's 1533-position model. The record is from RNAcentral.
UACAGAGGUCUCAAGCGUUGUUCGGAUUCAUUGGGCGUAAAGGGUGCGUAGGCGGCGCGGUAAGUCGGGUGUGAAAUUUCGAGGCUUAACUUCGAAACUGCAUUCGAUACUGCCGUGCUAGAGGACUGGAGAGGAGACUGGAAUUUACGGUGUAGCGGUGAAAUGCGUAGAUAUCAGGAAGAACACCGGUGGCGAAAGCGCUCUGCUAGGACGCAACUGACACUGAGGGACGAAAGCUAGGGGAGCGAAUGGG